UAUCACAUCAUGACAAAUAAAUGCAGGACUUUAUGAAAGCUUCCUACUUCCACUUGCAGGAGGUUUUCCCCUUCAAUCUUCAUGUAACAACUAGAAGGGUUACAACCAUAAAGUUCUCAGAAGAUUCAGUCAAAGACGAAACCAUACAAAGUCCCUGCCACGGAUCCUGCUGGGUAAGAAAUACCAACCCUCAAGUCUGACCAGAGAGUGGGGCCCAGUUUUGAAUGAAGAAUAUCAGGUCAGCUUCACUCUAUUGUCCUGCUGAAAGCUGUGCAAGGGAGAGGUUAUUGGUGGACUCAGACGGUUGGUAAUGACAGUGAAUGGGGAUUGACCCAGGCAGAACCACGGUCAAGAAUUUCCUGGGGUUUGUUGAAGACAUUGCAAUAAUUCUACCGUUCUCCAGUUCCUAUAAAUUGUGGCAAGAAGUUCAAUGUCCUUCCUGCAGCCCUGGCACAAACAACUCCCAGUGUGUUUAGAGGCCUGGAGACCAAAUGAGUCAUCAGAAUGAUCUUGCCCAUCUUUGCAAGGGAUCAUCAGUUCAGGAAAGUUUUUCCAUUAUUUUUCUGCUCAGGGAGAGGGCAGCAGUUCUGAUGUCAUUCCAGUGUCAGCUGAGGAGAGGCAAAAGUUAUCCUCUUGCUGCAGAGGAAGAUUGCAGCUGCAGUGUUUCACUGGGCUGUACUCCACGUAAUCUCAGUCCCUGUGUCACCUGCAAGGCUCAGUCCUGGCAGUUCCAGGCAAAUUUGCUCUGAGGGAUUCUCCAAUGGUCCCAGGCCUUGCAGGUGGGCUUUGAGCCCCCUAUCCCAGCCUUUGGAAUCAGUUUGGAGAGGGGAUGUGCCUCUAGCCAGCACACUGAACCUUGGCCCUGCUGGGUUUUGGGAUCACAAUGCACCAGCUCCAGUCAUCUCUACCUUGAAUGUCGGCAUUUUAGUAGCAUUUACCAAUUAUCACCGAGUUUACACUUUCGAAUGAUGAGGAAGAUUCUUACAUGUCUUGUUCUUGUUUGAGUGAUGUAUUGUGAGCAUUUGAUCUCAAACAAAGCUAAAAUUGUAAAACAUGUCAAUAAAAACAAUAUGUUGUCUCCA
Long non-coding RNA from Oenanthe melanoleuca, 1082 nucleotides. RefSeq lists it as uncharacterized. The record is from RefSeq and is a predicted model, not a curated record. Lineage: Eukaryota; Metazoa; Chordata; Aves; Passeriformes; Muscicapidae. The transcript is spliced from 2 exons.